CCACAACUCCGGUUCGGGCACAUACCCGGCAAUGCCCUGACCGUUGAGGGGCUCCAGCGCAAGCUGGGGCCCCUUUCUUUUU
Molecule: non-coding RNA, 82 nt
Organism: Bradyrhizobium lablabi
Lineage: Bacteria; Pseudomonadati; Pseudomonadota; Alphaproteobacteria; Hyphomicrobiales; Nitrobacteraceae
Source: Rfam